GAUGAAGAACGUAGUGAAAUGCGAUACGUAAUGUGAAUUGCAGAAUUCAGUGAACCAUCGAAUCUUUGAACGCACAUUGCGCCCGCCAGCACUCUGGCGGGCAUGCCUGUUCGAGCGUCAUUUCAACCAUCAAGCCCCAGGCUUGUGUUGGAGCCCUGCGGCUGCCGCAGCCUCCUAAAAGCAGUGGCGGGCUCGCUAUCACACCGAGUGCAGUAGAUUUCUCUUCGCUCAGGGCGUGUGGCGGGUUCCGGCCGUGAAACCCCCUACUCUUUAAGGUUGACCUCGGAUCAGGUAGGAAUACCCGCUGAACUUAAGCAUAUCAAUAAGCGGAGGA
RNAcentral lists this unclassified non-coding RNA (334 nucleotides) under soil metagenome. RNAcentral's name for it is "partial contains 5.8S ribosomal RNA, internal transcribed spacer 2, and large subunit ribosomal RNA". The stretch from base 1 to 120 matches the Rfam family "5.8S ribosomal RNA", at positions 35 to 154 of the family's 154-position model. The record is from RNAcentral.